GCAGCCGUGGCCUACUGGUUAGGGCUUCAGGUUUUGGAACCGAAGGGUUGCCGGUUCGAUCCCCGACCAGUAGGA
RNAcentral lists this transfer RNA (75 nucleotides) under Alosa alosa (allis shad). RNAcentral's name for it is "tRNA-OTHER". Lineage: Eukaryota; Metazoa; Chordata; Actinopteri; Clupeiformes; Clupeidae. The record is from RNAcentral.